CGUUAGCGGCGGACGGGUGAGUAACACGUGGGUAACCUACCUAUAAGACUGGGAUAACUUCGGGAAACCGGAGCUAAUACCGGAUAAUAUUUCGAACCGCAUGGUUCGAUAGUGAAAGAUGGUUUUGCUAUCACUUAUAGAUGGACCUGCGCCGUAUUAGCUAGUUGGCAAGGUAACGGCUUACCAAGGCGACGAUACGUAGCCGACCUGAGAGGGUGAUCGGCCACACUGGAACUGAGACACGGUCCAGACUCCUACGGGAGGCAGCAGAG
RNAcentral lists this ribosomal RNA (272 nucleotides) under uncultured Staphylococcus sp. RNAcentral describes it as "partial 16S ribosomal RNA". It matches the Rfam family "Bacterial small subunit ribosomal RNA", at positions 90 to 354 of the family's 1533-position model. The record is from RNAcentral. Lineage: Bacteria; Bacillati; Bacillota; Bacilli; Caryophanales; Staphylococcaceae.